CUUUCUCUGAACGCCUCUGAAUCUCAAGCAUUGACUUCCAUCUCUUCUUUUUUUACUUUUUUUUUUCUCAGGUGCAUUUGGUCGAACGGCGUAGCUCUCAGCCUCUGUUUCUUUUCCUCCUUUACGUUGCUGCUCAACUCUUCCCUUCCCGUCAAACCCAAAUCAGUGUCUAAACUUCUCUCUGCAUCUCAAAAGCGGUCUUCCACCGCUUCUUCCUCGUAAUUCCUCUCAACUCAUCUGACUGGGUUUUCAGGAACACAGUCUCUCUUGAUCUUCUUCUCUUGCUUUCACACAGAUCACAUCCUCC
RNAcentral lists this long non-coding RNA (307 nucleotides) under Brassica napus (rape). RNAcentral's name for it is "long non-coding RNA (BNAP_LNC019403)". The record is from RNAcentral. Lineage: Eukaryota; Viridiplantae; Streptophyta; Magnoliopsida; Brassicales; Brassicaceae.